GCCAGUAUGGCACACUGGUUUGAGCAUUGGAUUAGGACUCUGGAGACCAGGGUUUGAAUCCCAGCUUGGCCA
RNAcentral lists this transfer RNA (72 nucleotides) under Phrynosoma platyrhinos (Desert horned lizard). RNAcentral describes it as "tRNA-OTHER". The record is from RNAcentral. Lineage: Eukaryota; Metazoa; Chordata; Lepidosauria; Squamata; Phrynosomatidae.